Molecule: ribosomal RNA, 253 nt
Filed under: uncultured bacterium
Lineage: Bacteria
Description: partial 16S ribosomal RNA
Rfam family: Bacterial small subunit ribosomal RNA
Source: RNAcentral
UACGUAGGGUGCAAGCGUUAAUCGGAAUUACUGGGCGUAAAGCGUGCGCAGGCGGUGAUGUAAGACAGUUGUGAAAUCCCCGGGCUCAACCUGGGAACUGCAUCUGUGACUGCAUCGCUGGAGUACGGUAGAGGGGGAUGGAAUUCCGCGUGUAGCAGUGAAAUGCGUAGAUAUGCGGAGGAACACCGAUGGCGAAGGCAAUCCCCUGGGCCUGUACUGACGCUCAUGCACGAAAGCGUGGGGAGCAAACAGG